CUUGUAUCUGAUGUCAUGAACUUCGAUUCUCAAAAUUUUAUGAUGAAAAAUGUAGACUCAACUUCGCAUUUCUGAUGAUCAAAAAUUAAAAUCAUUUGUUUAGUGUACUGAAGGGGAAUUUUUUUCAGAAUUUUUUUCUGUGAUCUGCUCUGAAAAUAUAUGAACAUGUUCAGAUGAUCUAUACCCCCAAAUAACCUUUAUAUUUCACCUUCGGAUAAGGGAGCUGAGGUGCGAGAUCAAUCUUUCCUGGAGAUAGUUAAGGGACUAGUUGGUGAGGUUUCUUCUAGGCAGAAACAGGGUUUAACAAUGAAGAACAUGGUGACCAUUGAUGGUGAAUUGGACUUUGCUUUUACAGUGCCAGAAGUCAAAAAGAUGGCAGAGGAAUUCGGAUUUGAAAUAUUUAUUUAUAUGCUAUGAUUCUUUAUUGGGUUAAAUCUACCAAUAGCCACUCAACUUUAUACUUCGUGUCAUCAUGAUCACUUAUUUUGAUUUUGUUUCAGCAUGAUCAUUCAGCUAUAUAUUUAAUGUUACUAUAACCGCUCAACUUUAUACUUCAUAUCACCAUGGCCACCCAAUUUAAUUUUAUUUCAGUAUGACCAUCCAACUUAUACUUAAUGUUAUUAUCAUCACCAAACUUGAUUUUAUUAACAAUGGUCACCAAUUUUAUAUAAUAUUUUACCAAAGCCGUCCAACUCUUCUUAUUAUUUUUUUUGAACUCUUUUUGUUAAUUUUAAAAAGCAUAAAAAUGGUA
This 751-nucleotide long non-coding RNA is filed under the name Olea europaea subsp. europaea. Lineage: Eukaryota; Viridiplantae; Streptophyta; Magnoliopsida; Lamiales; Oleaceae. The record is from RNAcentral.